This is a long non-coding RNA of Scatophagus argus, 354 nucleotides long. RefSeq lists it as uncharacterized. Lineage: Eukaryota; Metazoa; Chordata; Actinopteri; Scatophagidae. The record is from RefSeq and is a predicted model, not a curated record. The transcript has 3 exons.
CUAAGCCCCGAGCUUUGCCAGGCAGAAUGUCUACGAUGGGAAACAGUCAGGCUUGAGUGCUCACACACCCACAACCCAGCUGCAAGUCAAAAGACAUGAAAUAGAAGACGGCAGCAUUAUGGAAUCACUGAAUAAGGACACCAGUUCCGUGAGCGUCACAUGACUGUGUCACAUGAUGCAGGGAAGUUUUUAUCCCUGUGGUGCCUGGGAGGCCUCCAAACCCAGAGUGGCCUCACCACAUUUCCCACAGCCGUCUGGGGAAUGGACUGUGGACCUGAAGGUAUGUGUGAGGCACAACACUGAAGCACUAAGGCUGUCUUAGGAUAAAAGCACAGAGAAAUUCCCCGGUUCUUA